RNAcentral lists this long non-coding RNA (2390 nucleotides) under Drosophila guanche. The record is from RNAcentral. Lineage: Eukaryota; Metazoa; Arthropoda; Insecta; Diptera; Drosophilidae.
CGAGAAGAGUCGCCGAAUAGUCUUCUAAAAGAGUCGACGAAGAGUUUUCGGAAGUGUCGUAGAAGAGUCUCCUGAAAGCGUCACAAAAGCGUCGCCCAGAAGGCUAACAAAGAAGUCGGCUUAAUACAAAAAUUUGAGUUUUAAAUUUAUUUAGGUUCAUUAAUAUAAAGCUUUUUAUAUCCGGUACUCGAAGAGUAAAUACAGUAUAUUGUAUUUGUGCACAAGGUAUGUAACACACAGAAGGAAACCUAUCCGACCCCAUAAAGUAUAUAUGUUCUUGAUCAGCAUAGCCUAGUCGAUUGAGCCAUGUAUGUCUGUCCGUCUGUCCGUCCUGAUGAGCGCCUAGUACUCAGAGACUCUAAGAGCUAGAGCCACCAAAUUUUGCAUCCAGACUUCUGUAUGCUCACACUGUUACAAGCGUAUUUAAAAAAUUGGCCUCGCCCCCUUCCGCCCACGCAAAAGGGCGAAACCCUCCCAAACCUGCAAUUCUGAAGAUAAAAGAACACUAACGAGAAGGGUCUUACACGUCUUCUUACACGUCACGUCUUACAUCUGCACCUUAGCGGUGUUGUGUCAAAUUUAAUAUCUUUUCUUCAUCUGUCAUCUACAUCUACUACACUUCUCACACCAACAAGCUCCUUUAGCUCGCCGACCUUCCCUAGACACACACACUGCAAACUCGCGGCAGAGGCAGCGCCCGCACACAAAAAAAACAAAUAUAAGCUGCGUGACGGGGUGGGUUAAAAGUUGGCAGAGGCAAAGGCAGAGGGGCGGCAGAGUCAGGGGCCGCAUGAAGCAGAAGCAGAGUGUGAAUGAGAGAAUGUGAAAAGAACAACAAAAGCUGCGGGACAGGGUGGGUUUAGCCACUGAAAAUGUAUUUCUCUAUUUUGGCUAUAAUAAUGGUACAAUCGGAUCCCAAUUUGGUGAUCUGAUAGAUAUGGUCAUUCCGUACGGAAUGGAAAAUAUUUAAAAUUUGACACAACCCGCUAAGGUGCAGAUGUAGUACUGAGUGCCGGGUAUAAAAGUUGUGACGCGUAAGAAGUGUCUCACACGUCCCUUCUCGUUAGUUUUCUUUUAUCUUCAGAAUUGCAUAUUUGGGAGGGUUUCGCCCUUUUGCGUGGGCGGAAGGGGGCGAGGCCAAUUUUUUAAAUACGCUUGUAACAGUGUGAGCAUACAGAAGUCUGGAUGCAAAAUUUGAUGGCUCUAGCUUUUAUGGCCUCUGAGAUCCAGGCGCUCAACAAGACGGACGGACGAUUGGACAGAUAGACAUGGCUCAAUCGACUCGGAUAUUGAUGCUGAUCAAGAAUAUAUAUACUUUAUGGGGUCAAAAACUAUUUACAAUAUACCCUAUUUACUCUUCGAAUACCGGGAAUAAUUAAUUCAUGGAUUUAUCACUUUUAUUUUUAUCGGAACACUCCCGUUGGUUUCAUCGCUCUAAUUGAAAUACCGCCAGAGUCAUAAAAUGGGCAGCAUAGAAACUAUAGUUUCUUCAUGGGCAGCACUAAAUACAGCUUUAGAAGCUCUGCCACCACCAGGAGUGCGGUCACACCAGAUCCGAAAACACGUUUGCUAGCAAACAGUGCAACACAUGAUGAUAGAGGCAGAGUGUGACCAGAGGUGAAGGAUGCGUUCCUUACGGUUAAACUACUCAGGCAGCUCUGUUAUUUUGUUUACUUUGUGGAAAUUUGUGAAAAGUUAAUAAAACAAGAAUACAAAAUGGUAGCGGAUCUUAUAUUAUCGGAGGAGAAGAACAUUCAACGUAAUAAACUCCGACAACAUUAAGUAAACCCAAACAAGAAGUUUCGUUUUUCUAUAGAUGCGAGUAUUAUAAAUCAUAUACAUACAUAUGUACACAUGUGCAUACAUAUGAAUGGAAGCACAUUUAACAAUACCCUUUGCACAUUACGCAGUUUGAAAAUAUAACUUAAAUGCAAUCAGUAUUCUUUGAGAAUUUGCUUGUCUGAGAAGAACUUCUGAAGCCUUUUUGGAUUGAUGGAGCAGUCCAGAAACAUAAUUAAGAAACCACUUAAACAUUUUUGUUAACAGCCCAGCCGGGUCUAUGUCUUGGCGACGUGAAGAUAAUGGCUUUCGGAAAAAUUAAACAAAUUAAAAAUACAAAUAAAUUCAAUAUAUUCUCAUUAAUCUCUAAUAAUUGUUUCCUCUUUCACCUAUUUGAUGGCCUCUUUCCACCUGGGCGUCUUUUAGCAGGGUGCGUCGUACACUGCACGAGGAAGACUGUGCGAGCAAGAUAGUAGCUGCUGGACGCGGUGGGUGUAGGAGAUUAAUUUCUUCAUGAUGGCUAUAAUUAUGAUCCAAUCUAAUCCCAAUUUGGUGAUCUGAUUAGAUAUUGUUUUGUGGCUCUAACUUUUAUAGCCUUUGAUAUCCAAGAG